This 336-nucleotide RNase P RNA is filed under the name Clostridia bacterium. RNAcentral's name for it is "RNase P RNA component class A". It matches the Rfam family "Bacterial RNase P class A". Rfam says of the family: Ribonuclease P (RNase P) is a ubiquitous endoribonuclease, found in archaea, bacteria and eukarya as well as chloroplasts and mitochondria. Lineage: Bacteria; Bacillati; Bacillota; Clostridia. The record is from RNAcentral.
UUAGAUAGACAGACGAUUGCUAGGUUUUAUGCCUAGAGGAAAGUCCGAGCAUCACAGAGUAGGAUGCCAGUUAACGGCUGGUGAAGGUGACUUCAAGGAAAGUGCAACAGAAAUUAUACCGCAUACCUUAUGGUAUGUAAGGGUGGAAUAGUAAGGUAAGAGCUUACUCGGGCAUGGGUAACCAUGCUUUGGUGUAAACCCCAUCUGAUGCAAGAUAGAGAGGCGUUUUAACGUUACUCGCUAGUCUCUCGUUACAUUGCUUGAACUUACUGGCGACAGUAAGUCUAGAUAGAUAAUCGUCUAAUACAGAACUCGGCUUAUGGCUAGUCUAACCUA